This is a non-coding RNA of Cinara cedri, 223 nucleotides long. Lineage: Eukaryota; Metazoa; Arthropoda; Insecta; Hemiptera; Aphididae. The record is from the annotation of a GenBank genome assembly.
UUUUUGUUUUACCAUCUGUUGUUUGUCAGUCCCGCAACGGAAUCUAUUUGAUACGCCAUGUUUUCGAUCGUCCUUGGUCUGUCAUGCUAUUUGUCCUCCUCUCUGUUAAAAUAAUAUAACAAACAGUAGAAGCGUCUGAAUGGCUCAGAACGUGUCCAAUCGUGUUCCGUUUCCUAACGGUUUGUAUCGUUCUGGUUUCAUUAACUUCACUUAGCAUAAUACG